AGAUGUCGAAUCCAGCAAAAAUUUCCUGACCGACUUCGGGAGAGAGAGGAAUUAUUGCUACGUGCCUCUUUCCCAGUGAAGAAAAUCUCUGUUGGCUGCGAGCAGAGAAGCGGCGGAAGGAUUCCCGACUCCGGGAAGCCAGGUGUCGGAAGGAGGAGGUACGCUUGAAGGGGGUCCGGCUGCCCGACUCUGCACUCCUCCGUUCAUGGCCCACUGUGGUGGUCACCAAAUUGAGGGCUUCCUGGAAGGACCUCCUCACGGUGCCCAUCCACUGGGUCAUGUGGGUCUGAGCCACUGUGAGUUUAUCUCCCAGCUGUCUCUCCCUCCCUCUCUGGAAGGCAACACUGAGCCAGGAUCUCACUCUGUUGCCCAGGCUGGACUGCAGUGGCGUGAUCAUAGCUCACUGCAGCCUUGACCUCCUGGGCUCAAGUCAUCCUCCCACCUCAGCCUCCCAACUAGCUGGAACUACAGG
This is a long non-coding RNA of Piliocolobus tephrosceles (Ugandan red Colobus), 472 nucleotides long. RefSeq lists it as uncharacterized. NCBI's taxonomy places the organism in Eukaryota, Metazoa, Chordata, Mammalia, Primates, Cercopithecidae. The transcript is spliced from 4 exons. The record is from RefSeq and is a predicted model, not a curated record.